This is a long non-coding RNA of Medicago truncatula (barrel medic), 424 nucleotides long. RefSeq lists it as uncharacterized. The transcript has 3 exons. NCBI's taxonomy places the organism in Eukaryota, Viridiplantae, Streptophyta, Magnoliopsida, Fabales, Fabaceae. The record is from RefSeq and is a predicted model, not a curated record.
GUUUUUAACAUUAUAAAUUAGUCCUACAAAGAUUUUGUUAUUAUUACAAACAAACGAUGGAAAAUAUGGCUAGAAAUUUAAAGUUUAUUUAUGUUAUGGUCCUCUUUCUUGCAUUGUUUUUUGUUCUAACCAACGGUGACUCUUUUCGAGGUUGCAACAAAGACACUGAUUGUCCAGAAAAAUUUUGUUCCUCUCCUGAUGUUGUGAGGUGUAUUUAUAUUGAAUGUUACUGCAUUUAACAGGUAAGAAGAGUAACACAUGACAUGAAGUCAUUAUAGCACAAAACAACUUUUGUAUCGUAUAUUAUCUACACAAAUAAAUUAAUGUAAACUUGUUACAUUGACAUUUAUACAAUAAAAUAUUAUUGAAUGUAUGUAUCUAUGUUUUCUUUAAAGCAAAAAUAUAUUGAUAGGAUUUAGACUAA